This 147-nucleotide unclassified non-coding RNA is filed under the name soil metagenome. Its description in RNAcentral is "partial internal transcribed spacer 1". The record is from RNAcentral.
CCGAGUUUACAACUCCCAAACCCCUGUGAACAUACCUAUAUGUUGCCUCGGCGGAUCAGCCCGCGCCCCGUAAAGCGGGACGGCCCGCCGCAGGAUCCACAAACUCUGUUUUUAUUGUAACUUCUGAGUAACAAAACAAAUAAAUCA